GAUGAACGCUGGCGGCGUGCCUAAUACAUGCAAGUCGAGCGAACGGACGAGAAGUUUGCUUCUCUGAUGUUAGCGGCGGACGGGUGAGUAACACGUGGAUAAUCUACUUAUAUGACUGGGAUCACUUCGGGAAACCGGAGCUAAUACCGGAUAAUAUUUUGAACCGUAUGGUUCAAUUGUGAAAGACGGUCUUGCUGUCACUUAUAGAUGGAUCCGCGCUGCAUUAGCUAGUUGGUAAGGUAACGGCUUACCAAGGAAACGAUGCGUAGCCGACGUGAGAGGGUGAUCGGCCACCCGGGAACUGAAACGCGGUCCAGACUCCUACGGGAGGCAGCAGUAGGGAAUCUUCCGCAGUGGUCGAAAGCCUGACGGAGCAGCGCCGCGUGAGUGAUAAAGGUCUUCGGAUCGUAAAACUCUGUUAUUAGGGAAGAACAUAUGUGUAAGGAACUGUGCACAUCUUGACGGUACCUAAUCAGAAAGCCACGGCUAACUACGUG
RNAcentral lists this ribosomal RNA (497 nucleotides) under uncultured bacterium. Its description in RNAcentral is "partial 16S ribosomal RNA". It matches the Rfam family "Bacterial small subunit ribosomal RNA", at positions 28 to 507 of the family's 1533-position model. The record is from RNAcentral.